RNAcentral lists this long non-coding RNA (247 nucleotides) under Lathyrus oleraceus (garden pea). RNAcentral describes it as "Pisum sativum (pea) long non-coding RNA (PSAT_LNC041242)". Lineage: Eukaryota; Viridiplantae; Streptophyta; Magnoliopsida; Fabales; Fabaceae. The record is from RNAcentral.
AACAUUUUCAUCAAUCCCACAAUUUUAUCAAAUUUCAUGAGUUUAACAACAACAUAUUCAUUAUUCAAACAAUUCAAUAAAAUUUCAUCGUUUUAAUAGCAAAAUUUUCAUCAUUCACACAAUUCAAUCAAAUUUCUUGGGUUUAACAACAACAAUUUCAUCAUGCGCACAUUUUAACCAAUUUUCAUGAGUUUAACAACAACAAUUUCAUCAUUUUCACAAUUCAAUCAACUUUCAUGGGUUUAAC